This 236-nucleotide ribosomal RNA is filed under the name uncultured bacterium. Its description in RNAcentral is "partial 16S ribosomal RNA". It matches the Rfam family "Bacterial small subunit ribosomal RNA", at positions 524 to 757 of the family's 1533-position model. The record is from RNAcentral.
UACAGAGGGGCGAAGCGUUAUUCGGAAUUAUUGGGCGUAAAGGGGCGCGUAGGCGGCUUGGCAAGUGGAAGGUGAAAUCCCUCGGCUUAACCGAGGAACUGCCCUCCAAACUGCUUCCGCUUGAGACCGGGAGAGGUGAGUGGAAUUCCCAGGUGUAGCGGUGAAAUGCGUAGAUAUUGGGAGGAACACCAGUGCGAAGGCGGCUCACUGGACCGGUAUUGACGCUGAUGCGCGAA